This 547-nucleotide small RNA is filed under the name Pongo abelii (Sumatran orangutan). Its description in RNAcentral is "retained intron". The record is from RNAcentral. Lineage: Eukaryota; Metazoa; Chordata; Mammalia; Primates; Hominidae.
CUACUUCCGGGAACUGCCCGAGCCGCUCCUCACGGACCGACUCUACCCAGCCUUCAUGGAGGGCAUCGGUGAGGCCCUGAGGGCUCCUAGGGCUGGGCUGGGCCAGACUGAGCCAGGACUCCCUGCCCGGAGAAGUAACCAGCAGGAGAAAUAUCUGUGGCUUCCUCUGCUGGCUGACCUUCCCAGUGCACUGGGGCCUGUGGCUGAGGGGCCCGAGGGUGAGGUGUGGCCUGCUAGGACCUGGUGCAGACACUAGGCCCUUUCUCGCCUGCCUCUUGCCCCUGAUGUCCCCAUGGGCAGCCCCUUCUGCUUCCUGUUUGGACGUUGGCCUCUUGCUUGGAAGCUCGAGCAUCCAGGGAAGACUGCCCUGAGCCCUGUCAGACCCUGCUGCCAAGGAAAACUGCAUGAUGCACCUGCUCCGCUCCCUGCCCGACCCCAACCUCAUCACCUUCCUCUUCCUGCUGGAACACUUGGUUGCCGAGAAGGAGCCCAUCAACAAAAUGUCACUUCACAACCUGGCUACCGUGUUUGGACCCACGUUACUGAG